RNAcentral lists this ribosomal RNA (444 nucleotides) under uncultured bacterium. RNAcentral's name for it is "partial 16S ribosomal RNA". It matches the Rfam family "Bacterial small subunit ribosomal RNA", at positions 339 to 795 of the family's 1533-position model. The record is from RNAcentral.
CUACGGGUCGCAGCAGUGGGGAAUAUUGCACAAUGGGCGCAAGCCUGAUGCAGCAACGCCGCGUGAGGGAUGAAGGCCUUCGGGUUGUAAACCUCUUUUAGCAGGGAAGAAGCGAAAGUGACGGUACCUGCAGAAAAAGCACCGGCUAACUACGUGCCAGCAGCCGCGGUAAUACGUAGGGUGCAAGCGUUGUCCGGAAUUAUUGGGCGUAAAGAGCUCGUAGGCGGUUUGUCACGUCUGCUGUGAAAAUCCAAGGCUCAACCUUGGACUUGCGGUGGGUACGGGCAGGCUAGAGUGCGGUAGGGGAGAUGGGAAUUCCUGGUGUAGCGGUGGAAUGCGCAGAUAUCAGGAGGAACACCAAUGGCGAAGGCACAUCUCUGGGCCGUAACUGACGCUGAGAAGCGAAAGCGUGGGGAGCGAACAGGAUUAGAUACCCCAGUAGUC